UACGUAGGGGGCUAGCGUUGUCCGGAAUCAUUGGGCGUAAAGCGCGUGUAGGCGGUUCGGUAAGUCCGCUGUGAAAGUCGGGGGCUCAACCCUCGGAUGCCGGUGGAUACUGCCGGACUAGAGUACGGAAGAGGCGAGUGGAAUUCCUGGUGUAGCGGUGAAAUGCGCAGAUAUCAGGAGGAACACCAGUGGCGAAGGCGGCUCACUGGCCCGAUACUGACGCUGAGGCACGAAAGCGUGGGGAGCAAACAGG
RNAcentral lists this ribosomal RNA (253 nucleotides) under uncultured bacterium. RNAcentral describes it as "partial 16S ribosomal RNA". It matches the Rfam family "Bacterial small subunit ribosomal RNA", at positions 524 to 776 of the family's 1533-position model. The record is from RNAcentral.